AUAGCGUAUAUUAAAGUUGUUGCAGUUAAAACGCUCGUAGUUGAACUUUUGUUGUGCGAAACAGAGUUUUCUUAGGAUUAUCUCUUGUUUCUGACAACAUUUGUCUGGUUCUGCUAUAACUUAACUGUUGUAGUAGUGUCAGAAACGUUACUUUGAGUAAACUAGAGUGUUUCAAGCAGGCUUUAUGCCUUGAAUACUCCAGCAUGGAAUAAUAAGUAAGGACUCAGGUUCUUCUUGUUGGUUCAAGAGCCAGAGUAAUGAUUAAUAGGGACAGUUGGGGGCAUUCGUAUUUGGAAGCUAGAGGUGAAAUUCUUAGAUUUUCCAAAGACGAACUACUG
Molecule: ribosomal RNA, 338 nt
Filed under: uncultured eukaryote
Lineage: Eukaryota
Description: bacterial SSU rRNA
Rfam family: Eukaryotic small subunit ribosomal RNA
Source: RNAcentral